Molecule: ribosomal RNA, 1522 nt
Filed under: Escherichia coli
Lineage: Bacteria; Pseudomonadati; Pseudomonadota; Gammaproteobacteria; Enterobacterales; Enterobacteriaceae
Description: partial 23S ribosomal RNA
Rfam family: Bacterial large subunit ribosomal RNA
Source: RNAcentral
CGAAUGCUGACAUAAGUAACGAUAAAGCGGGUGAAAAGCCCGCUCGCCGGAAGACCAAGGGUUCCUGUCCAACGUUAAUCGGGGCAGGGUGAGUCGACCCCUAAGGCGAGGCCGAAAGGCGUAGUCGAUGGGAAACAGGUUAAUAUUCCUGUACUUGGUGUUACUGCGAAGGGGGGACGGAGAAGGCUAUGUUGGCCGGGCGACGGUUGUCCCGGUUUAAGCGUGUAGGCUGGUUUUCCAGGCAAAUCCGGAAAAUCAAGGCUGAGGCGUGAUGACGAGGCACUACGGUGCUGAAGCAACAAAUGCCCUGCUUCCAGGAAAAGCCUCUAAGCAUCAGGUAACAUCAAAUCGUACCCCAAACCGACACAGGUGGUCAGGUAGAGAAUACCAAGGCGCUUGAGAGAACUCGGGUGAAGGAACUAGGCAAAAUGGUGCCGUAACUUCGGGAGAAGGCACGCUGAUAUGUAGGUGAGGUCCCUCGCGGAUGGAGCUGAAAUCAGUCGAAGAUACCAGCUGGCUGCAACUGUUUAUUAAAAACACAGCACUGUGCAAACACGAAAGUGGACGUAUACGGUGUGACGCCUGCCCGGUGCCGGAAGGUUAAUUGAUGGGGUUAGCGCAAGCGAAGCUCUUGAUCGAAGCCCCGGUAAACGGCGGCCGUAACUAUAACGGUCCUAAGGUAGCGAAAUUCCUUGUCGGGUAAGUUCCGACCUGCACGAAUGGCGUAAUGAUGGCCAGGCUGUCUCCACCCGAGACUCAGUGAAAUUGAACUCGCUGUGAAGAUGCAGUGUACCCGCGGCAAGACGGAAAGACCCCGUGAACCUUUACUAUAGCUUGACACUGAACAUUGAGCCUUGAUGUGUAGGAUAGGUGGGAGGCUUUGAAGUGUGGACGCCAGUCUGCAUGGAGCCGACCUUGAAAUACCACCCUUUAAUGUUUGAUGUUCUAACGUUGACCCGUAAUCCGGGUUGCGGACAGUGUCUGGUGGGUAGUUUGACUGGGGCGGUCUCCUCCUAAAGAGUAACGGAGGAGCACGAAGGUUGGCUAAUCCUGGUCGGACAUCAGGAGGUUAGUGCAAUGGCAUAAGCCAGCUUGACUGCGAGCGUGACGGCGCGAGCAGGUGCGAAAGCAGGUCAUAGUGAUCCGGUGGUUCUGAAUGGAAGGGCCAUCGCUCAACGGAUAAAAGGUACUCCGGGGAUAACAGGCUGAUACCGCCCAAGAGUUCAUAUCGACGGCGGUGUUUGGCACCUCGAUGUCGGCUCAUCACAUCCUGGGGCUGAAGUAGGUCCCAAGGGUAUGGCUGUUCGCCAUUUAAAGUGGUACGCGAGCUGGGUUUAGAACGUCGUGAGACAGUUCGGUCCCUAUCUGCCGUGGGCGCUGGAGAACUGAGGGGGGCUGCUCCUAGUACGAGAGGACCGGAGUGGACGCAUCACUGGUGUUCGGGUUGUCAUGCCAAUGGCACUGCCCGGUAGCUAAAUGCGGAAGAGAUAAGUGCUGAAAGCAUCUAAGCACGAAACUUGCC